ACUGGUCACGUGUGCAAAUAACUGCAUUGGAUCAGUUGAUAGACAUUUUCUGGAUCUCAGGUAAAACAACGUUUUGAACACUUAUAAUUACAUGCUUUAUAAGUACGUGAUUUGUUAUUAAAUCAAUUAUUAUAAGUUUUAAUGUUCAUAUUUAAUCGAAGUCAAUAAAAUCAUUAACUUUAAAGUUAACUUUCGUUUUCGCCUAGCAUAUACGGUUAAAAUAUCCAAACAUUAGGUAUGUAAAUAAAUAGCAGAAAUAAAUAACAAAAACAAAACCACAAACAUGUAGCAUUGACCAAAUAAUAUUCGUUCUCCUUGAUCUUAUUUAAGUUGAAAAUUCGAAAUUGUUAACAUCACCAAUAAUAUUUUGAGUACAGAUAAGUAUGUUGACAACUAUAAAUACUUUGUGUAAAUACUGACACAUCACUUUGUAUCUCCUACCGCUUUUUAGUAAAAAAAAGAAUUUCUUUCCUUCAAAUAAUAUGCAAGGUAAAGACUAAAAACAAGUUAAAGAUUAAAUGUUGCAACAGACCACCUAUAGUUCCUUAUAGAAAUUUCGAAAGGGUUCAAUAACAUAUGCCGAGAGCUUGACAGUUUCCUUGUACAUGUUAUACGCGUAAUCGGAUAUUGUGCUUUCAGUUGCCAGUGUAUUUAUAAACACUCUAGUAAUCACUUCAUAAUGGACUUUCAUCAUAAGCAAGGAUUCAUAACUUGAACUUAUGGGAUGAGCAUAUUUUAAUACCUAUUCGAUGGCUUUUUAUAUGAAAGCCAUGAUUUUUUUUUUAUAAUGAUUAGACCGUUGGUUUUCCCGUUUGAAUGGUUUUACACUAGUAAUUUUGGGGCCCUUUAUAGCUUGUUGUUUGGUGUGAGCCAAGGCUGUGUGUUGAAUGCCGUUUAUUGACUUAUAAUGGUAUACUUUUUUAAAUAGUUAUUUGGAUGGAGAGUUGUCUCAUUGGCACUCACACCACAUCUUCCUAUAUCUAUUUGAACACGAACACAUGCGAUGAGCAUAUUUCAAUACCUAACCGAAGGCUGUGUAUAUGUCUGCAAUGCUUUGAACACUAACACAUGCUUGGUGAGUUUCUAGCAUAUGCAAUUAAUUAUAAUGAAUUUUAAUUUUUCAUAACUGUUUAUUCUACUUUCGUUUUCGCUUCGCAUACCGUAUAGCGGGUUAUUUUCGCGGGUGUAAAAUUUCGCGAUUUUCAUUGAAUAAGGUAUACGAAAAAUUUUGGCGGUUAUUAUUUUGGCGGAUUUAUCAUUUUAAACAUUGCCUUUGCAUGUACACUUUUAAAUUGGCGGAAUUUAUUUUAGCGAUUUUGUUCUAUCCGCGAAAAUAAGCGAAAAUUUACACCCCGCGAAAAUAACCCGCUAUACGGUAUAAUGUUAAAAUAUUCAAACAUUGGAUAUGUGAAUAAAAAACACAGAUUAAUGAUAAAAAAACACGAAGUUUCACUUGGUUUUUAACAUGUUUAAAGAGCUGCAUAUAUUAUCAUUCACAAUUACAAAUACAUUGCUGAUUCAGAAUACUGAUUAUACAGUAUGUAUCACCUGUUGAUGCUUUACCAAAUUCGAAAUACUUUCAUACUUCAAAAAGUAUGCGCUCAGUAAAUACAGGGAAAAAAACAAGUAAUUAAUAAAUUACACACUUGAGAUCACUUGAGUAUCGUGUUGCUUGGUUGAUAUUUCAUGCUUUACCAUGUUAACAUGGAAGGGUAAAUAAAUACAAUAAAUAUGUACUUUUGCUAUCAAUGACAGGACAUUUGAAAGGCCACAUGAACAUGAUAGUUUGGUAGAGAGAUUGAAGUGACAGGUUUGGUCUUGUAACUGGCCAUCUAAAGUCCCUUCAGAGAGUUUUUGAAAGCGUUGAAUAAUGUGCCGAGAGCUUAAAAUUCGCUUGAACAGAGUCAUCGGAUUUAGUGCAGACCGGCAGUUGUCGGCCGAUUUAAAUUUGUAUUUAUAAACACUCUAGUAUAAACACUAAACAGCCAAGCUGACUUACCUUAUUAGCGAAUGACUUAUUACUUGAACGGGAGAGGCCAUGGAAUAAUCAUCUUACAUGCAUAGUCAAACCAUUUUUGUAUGCCUUUUGAUCUGGCUUCUAAGUGUACUUUUGUUGAUCGAAGACCCUUAAUCCUCAGUUUAAUUCCGUGGUAAUACGAACAAAGUUUUACUUGUUUCAUAAGUAACAAUAUUUGUUGCAUGACACUUGAAAUGGCACAGCUCUAUGCGAAAUAUCAAUGUUAUAUUUAUCUUGUCAAAUUAACUGUUGAUAUUUAUUUACCUGUAUUUUUAAAAUUACCGUGACAGUGAAGCAGAAACGUGUGUUCAAGAAAAAAAGGCGAUUUCAAAUGACAAUAAAAAAAAACGCAACAAUAUUUUUUAGUCGCAGUAUUACAUGCAAAUAUGCCACCUAACAGAAAAAAUUAUCAACUACAUGGGAAAAAAUAUGUGUGCACGCACAUUGUGUGCCAAGCAUAAUUAUGCUUACAUGACUUGCGACAGCAAGAUUUCAUAGAACCUUUAUUUACAUUUACCUAAUUAAGGUAACAACCGGUGAUAAAAAACAUAUCUAAGGAUUUGUCUUACAUAAGACAGAUUUUUGUUAAAAGCAAUUUUAUUCUUUUAAAAUGUCUUUUUUGUAGCAUGACGAGUAAAUAUACUGUGUGUGGAAUAUGUGAUUAUCAGAACAUUAACAAACCAUCAGUUGUCUGGUGUUCAGAAUGUGACGAAGGACUUUGUGAAGAAUGUAAAGUGCAUCAUGCAGCGUCAAAGGCGACCAGAAACCAUAGUAUCGUUCAAAUCUCGGAGUACCAGAGGCUUCCUUCCAAUAUAUUGGAAAUUACUCAAACAUGUUCAAAACAUGAUGAAAAAUUCCAAAUAUUCUGUAAGAAACAUGAUAUUCCAUGUUGUAGACGAUGCGUUGUUGAAACACAUAACGAUUGCAAAGAUUUAAACGCGAUAGAGGAUGUCAUAAAGAAUGUAAAAUCUUCAAGUGCAUUUUCAGAGAUGGAACAAGUGCUGAAAGAACUGUCAGAAAAUUUGCAGAAUAUAAGAAAAGAUAGACAAGAAAACAUUAAAAGUCUAAGGGAGAACAGAAUACAAAUAGAAAAGGAAGUUCAGCAGACACGAAGCCUGAUUAACAAUCACCUUGAUAGGCUACAGGAAUUUUUGAUAAAAGAGUUGUAUGACACUGAGAAAAAGGAAAGCACAAAAAUUAAAAACAUAAUAUCAUCCAUUCAAGAAAGUGAAAGAAAGAUUACCGAAUGCAAAAGUACUUUAUAUACAAUAAAACAACAUGCAUCAGACCUCCAGACGUUUCUUGCAAUGAAACACAUCCAGCAAGAUGUCAGAAACAACGAAAACUUUUUGGAAUCCUUGAUUAAAGAAAACAAAAUGAACAAUGUUUCCAUUACCUGGAAAAACGAAACUGCCUUGAAGAUCUUACCUGUCCAAACUAAAAAGAUGGGGACCAUAAUACUAAAUACCAGGGCAGGUGAUGCAACACUAACAAACAAAAAGAACAAACAAGCGCAGAUGAUGAUGCCUACUACACCUGUUUCUACCAUUGAUGAUAUAAAACUUACUUUAAGACAAACCGUGAACACAAUUGGACAGGAUAUCAAAAGUUGUUGCUUAUUACCUGGUGGCAGAAUGAUUUUUUCCUGCUAUAGAAGUAACAAAAUUCACGUGCUCAAAUCAAGCGGGACUUCAGAUUUUACACUUGAGACAGGAUCCACAACAUCUCAUAUCCACUUUAUCGAAAAAAGUCAAAAACUUGUCGUAACAACUGGGGAAAACAACCAACGCAUUGAGAUAAUCGACAUGAAAAGUAGAAAAUCUGAGAAAUCUAUUGGAGUUGGAACAAGGAUUUUUGGGAUAGUUAACAAAGAAGGGAAAUUAUUUUAUAAUGGAGAUAGAACUGGAUUAUGUUUUGUAAAUUUAAAUGACGACUCUUUAACACAGUUAGUUGACGGUGCAUUGUCUACAUAUAGCAGCAUUGCAACAUGGUCAGAUCAACUAUAUUUUAUAGGCGAAGAUGGUUCAGUAACAUGCAGUGAUCUACAAGGAGGAAUUAAAUGGAAAUUUAAGUUGAAAACAUUUACAGUUCCACGAGGUAUAACAGUGGACAAUUACGGGCGUGUUUACGUAUCAGGCUAUUGGACGAGUAAUGUCAUUGUAAUUUCACCAGAUGGAAGCAAACAUAGAGUGUUGCUGUCACAACAAAAUGGUAUUAAUAAACCACAGUCUUUGUUCUUCGAUCGAAUAAAUAACAAGUUACUUGUUGCGAAUACAUGCAAUUACGCAUUUCUUUAUGACAUUUCAAAUUGAAUAGAUACACUAUCCCUGGGAUGAUCUUAGCUGUGAUAAAUGUUUUUGUUAUGAAAACACGUACUUUUUGUGAGAAAUAAAAUACUAUACAGAUCGAUUUAUUACGAAACAACUGCAUUUGAAAUCGCUACAGUCAUUUUUGUUGUUGUAUUAAACAUAAAAAAUAUACGUUAAUUAAGAUUCAAAGAAAGGACUAGCCAUACGUGUUAAUAUGAUUGAAAAUGUUAAAUAAAAUAGGCAUUAGUGUUUUAAGUCAGGUUAUUGUUACUCCAACAGAGACGAACUCAGGAUCUCAAAAAGUAAACAAUGAUGCGAGUCUAACCUAUCCCCUCUUAUUGCAGUUUUAUUCAUUAACAGUUAUGAAUAAGAGUGUACAACUGGUUAUGUUAUCAUGUUAUAAAAAGUUUUCAUGUAAACAAUUCAAUACUAUAAAAAAGAAGAUAUGGUAUGAUUGUCAAUGAGACAACUCUACAUAAGAGACUAAAAUAACACAGAAAUUAACAACUAUAGAUCACCAUACGACCUUCAACAAUUAGCAAAGCCCAUAUCGCAUAGUCAGCUAUAAAGGCCCCGAAAUGACAAUGCAAAAUAAUUUAAACGAGAAAACUACCGGCCUAAUUUAUGUACAAAAAUUGAACGAAAAACAAAUAUGUAAUACAUAAACAAACGACGACCACUGAAUUACAGACUCCUUACUCGGUACAGGCACAUAUAUACAGAAUGUGGCGGGGUUAAACAUGUUAGCGGGAUACCAACCCUCCCCAUAACCUGGGACAGUGGUGUAACAGUACAACAUAGGAACGAGCAAUACAAAUCAGUUGAAAAAGGCUUAACUCAUCAAAUGGACAAAAAUACAAGUGGACGUAGACGGGUACUUAUACAUUCUCACCACAAAAAGACACUAAGUACAGAUCUGAGAGUACUCGCAGUUAAUUGAGAGCUAGUUCAAAGCAUCUAACAACUAAUAAAAAAAUCAUGCAUCUGAUUAAGUUCCUUGAAAGACGAUCACUAGAGUGUGCUUACAAAAAACAGACAGCAUUGGUAGAGUUUAAAUGGUUGCUCCCUGUUUUCGUUUGUAACCACUAAAUAUAGAAAUGACAUAUCAGCCUUGAAUGGCGUAGUCUCUCUGAUAUUUGAAGAAAGGAAUCAUGAUUAAUUAGGUUAUACAUAAUAUGUCAUAGAAAAGUUGCAAUAAGAACAACAAAUGAAUUUCCCCAUAAAAGACAAACUGAUACAGCAAAUAUUUUUUUCUUCCCAAAUAACAAUUUAUUUCCGCCUGAAACAAAUUAGUAGACAAUAUCAAUAAAAGUACCUCAGUAGACUCUUCAAGUUCAAUUCUUCAAUCUCAAAACAUCAAUAUCAAAUUCAAUUAUACAUAGUACAUGUAUAUUUGACCAAUUUUACAUUAUUUAUUUACAUAUUAGAAAUUGUAUAUAAUAUGAAUUCAUUGCACGUCUUGUCAGAAAUUCCAGGACAUAAUCAUAAAAAAAACACAACUUGAAUUUAACCGCGUUUUAAUACUUACCAGAAAGUACGUUCUGGUCACGUGUGCAAAUAACUGCAUUGGAUCAGUUGAUAGACAUUUUCUGGAUCUCAGGUAAAGCAAUGUUUUGAACACUUACAAUGACAUGCAAGUAGUUGAUUUGUUUUUAGCAUAUUUUAUCAAUUAUUAUCAGUUUUAAUUUUCAUAUUUAAUCGAAUCAAUAAAAAAUCAUUGACUUUAAAGUUUACUUUCGUUUUCGCCUUGCAUAUAAGGUUAAAAUAUCCAAACAUUAGGUAUGUAGAUAAAUAGAACAAAUGAAUAACAAAAACAAAACCACACACAUGUGGCAUUGACCAAAUAAUUCUCGUUCUCCCUGAUCUUAUUCAAAAUGAAAAUUCGAAAUUGUUAACAUGGUUAGCAUCACCAAUAAUAUUUUGAGUACAGACAAGUAUGCUGACAAUUAUAUAUACUUUGUAUAACACUAAUUGAACACUUUGUAUCUCCUAUCGCUUUUUACCAAAAUACGAAUUUCUUUCCUUACAUAAAGAAUAUACAAGGUUAAUUUUUUAAUAGAAGCUAAAAAAAAAGUUACAGAUGAAGUGUUGUAACUGACCACCUAGCUACAGUUCUUCAGAGAGUUUACAAUAGGGUUCAAUAACAUAUGCCGAGAGCUUGACAGUUUCCUUAUACAUAUUAUACGCGUCAUCGGAUAUUGUGCCUUAGAAAGCCGGUGUAUUUAUAAACACUCUAGUAAUCACUUCAUAACCAAGUGGACUUUCAUCAUACAUGUCAUAAGCAAGGAUUUAUUACUUGAACGGGAGGUGUCAUGAAUUCGAUAGCUUUUUAUAUGAAAGCCAUACUUUUUUUUUAUAUUGAUUAGACCGUGGGUUUUUCCGUUUGAAUGGUUUUAUACUAGUAAUGUUUGGGCCCUUUAUAGCUUGUUAUUCGGUGUGAGCCAAGGCUCCGUGUUAAAUGCCGUAUAUUGACUUAUAAUGGUUUACUUUUUUAAAUUGAUAUUUAGAUGGAGAGUUGUCUCGUUUGGCACUCACACCACAUCUGCCUAUUAUCUAUUUAAAAACAAACACAUGCGAUGAGCAUAUUUCAAUAUUUAGCCGAAGGCUGUGAAAUAUGAAAGCAAUGCUUUGAACACUAACACAUGCUUGAUGAUUAGUUGGUUUGUUUUUUAGCAUAUGCAAUUAAUUAUAAUGCGUUUUAAAUUUUCAUUUUUAAUGCUAGUCAAUAAAAACAAUAACUUUUUAUUCUUCUUUCGUUUUUGCUUCGCAUAUAAUGUUAAAAUAUUCAAACAUUGGAUGUGUGAAUAAAAAACACAGAUUAAAGAUAAAAAAAAACACGAAGUUUCACUUACUUUUUAACAUGUUGAAGGACCUUAAGAGCUGCAUAUAUAAACAUUCACAAUUACAAAUUUACAACUGUUGAUUUAGAACACUGAUUAUGCAGUAUGUGUCUCCUAUUGAUGUUUACCUAAUUCGAAAUACUUUCAUCCUUCAAAAUGUAUGCGCUCAGUGAAUACAGAUAAAAAACCAAAACAAGUAAUGAAUACAUUACAUACUUGAGAUCAAUUGAGUAUUGUGUUGCUUGGUUGAUAUUUCAUGCUUUACCAUGUUCACAUGGAAGGGCAAAUAAAUACAAUAGAUAUGUACAUUCGCUAUCAAUGACAGGGCAUUUGAAAGUUUAGUAGAGAGAUUGAAGUGAUAGAUUUGGUCUUGUAACAGGCCACCUAAAGUCCCUUCCGAGAGUUUUUGAAAUCGUUUAAUAUAUACUAGUAUAAUGUGCCGUGAGCUUAACAUUUGCCUGAACAGAUUCAUCAGAUUUAGUGCACUCAUUCAGACUGACAGUUGUCUUUUGACCUCGGUUCAAAUUGUACUUUUGUUGAUCUAAGACCCUUCUUAGUUUAAUUCCGCGAUAGUACGAACACAGUUUUACUUGUUUAAUAAGUAACAAUAUUUGUUGCAUGACACUUGAAAUGGUACUAAAUAUCAAUGUUAUAUUUAUCUUUUCAAAUAAACUUUUAAUACUUAUUUAUCUGUAUUUUCAAAAUUACCGUGACCGUGAAGCAGAAACUUGUUUUCAAGAAAAAAAGGCGAUUUUAAAUAAUAAUAAAAAAAAAAACACAACAAAAUAUUUUAGUCGACAGUAUUACAUGCAAAUUUGCAACCUAACAGAAAAAAUUAUCAAUUACAUGGAAAAAUAUGUUUGCACGCACAUUGUGUGCCCAGCAUAAAUAUGCUUACAUGACUUGCGACAGCAAGAUUUCAUAGAGCAUUUAUUUCCAUUUACCUAAUUAAGGUAACAACCGGUGAAUGAAAAACAUAUCUAAGGAUUUGUAUUUCAUUAGACAGAUUUUUGCUUAAAGCAAUUUUAUUCUUUUAAAAUUUCUUUUUUGUAGCAUGUCGAGUAAAUAUACUGUAUGUGGAGUAUGCGAUUAUCAGAACAUUAACAAACAAUCAGUUGUCUGGUGUUCAGAAUGUGACGAAGGUCUUUGUGAAGGAUGUAAAGUGCACCAUGCAGCUUCAAAGGGUACCAGAGACCAUAGUAUUGUACUACGAUCCGACUACCAAAAUCUACCUUCUAAUAUAUUGGAAAUCACUCAAACUUGUCUAAAGCACGAAGAAAAAUACGUUAUAUUUUGUAGGAAGCACGAUAUGUCCAUGUUGUAGAAGAUGUGUUGUUGAAACACAUAACGAUUGCAAAGAUUUAAACGCUAUAGAGGAUGUCAUUAUGAAUGUAAAAUCAUCAAAUGCAUUUUUAGAGAUGGAAAAAGUGUUGAAAGAACUUUCAGAAAAUUUGCAGAAUAUCAGAAAAGAUAGACAAGAAAACAUUAAAAGUCUAAGGGAGAACAGAACAAAAAUAGAAAAAGAAGUACAGCAGACACGAAGCCUGAUUAACAAUCAUCUUGAUAGGCUACAGGAAAACUUGACGAAAGAGUUGUAUGACGUUGAGGAAAAGGAAAACAAAAGCAUCACAAACAUAAUAUCAUCAAUAGAAGAGAAAGAAAGAGAAGUCACCGAAAGCCAAACUAUUUUAGAUAAAGUUAAACAACAUGCAUCAGACCUCCAGACAUUUCUGGCUAUAAAACAUAUCCAACGAGAUGUCAAAAUCAACGAACAAUUUCUGGAAUCGCUGAUAAAAGAAGAGAAAACCAACAAUACAUCUAUUUCUUGGAAAAACGAAAACGCUAUGGAGAUUUUAUCUAACCAAAUCAAGAAGAUUGGAACCAUCAUAUUAGAUACCAGGCCAGGUGAUACGAUACUGACAAGCAGGAAAAACCAACAAGCACAGAUAGCGCUACCUACCACACCUGUUCCUUCCAUUGAUGAUGUAAAACUUGCUUUACGAAGGACCGUGAAAACACUUGGAGAUGAUAUCAUUAGUUGCUGCUUUUUUCCUGACGGCAGAAUGGGUUUUUCCUGUUACUCUGCUUAUAAAAUUGACGUCUUGAAAACCGACGGAUCAUUAGAUUUUACAUUGAAGCCGGGAUCGAGAACAUCUCAUAUAGAUUUUAUCGAGAAGAGUCAAAAACUUGUCGUAACAUCUGGCUUUAACUACAAACACAUUAAGAUUAUCAAUGUUAUAAAUAGAAAAACCGAGAAAUCCGUUGAUGUUGGAACACAGAUUUAUGGAAUAGUUCACAAAGAUGAGAAAUUAUUUUACAAUGGGGAAAGUCAUGGAUUACAUGUUGUAAAUUUAGAUGAUGGCUCUGAUACCCAGUUAGUAAACGUUUCUUUGAAUCGCUAUAGCAGCGUAGCAAUAUGGUCAGAUAAACUUUAUGUCAUAGGCAAUGAUGAUUCAGUAACAUGCUGUGACCUCCAAGGGGCUGUUAAAUGGAAAGUAGAACUAUACACUAAUCUUAAAGGCGCACGAGGUAUAACAGUGGACAAUUACGGACGUGUUUACGUAUCGGGCUAUGAAUCCAACAAUGUCGUCGUGAUUUCAACAGAUGGAAGCAAACAUAGAGUGUUGCUGUCAGGGAAAGAUGGUCUUAAAAAACCACAGUCUUUGUGCUUCAAUCGAAAAAACAACAACCUUCUAAUUGCAAAUCAAGAGAAUGAUGCCUUUAUUUAUGACAUUUUAAAAUGAAUUGAUACAAUAUAACUUAAAUUAGCUUCAUAGAAGUGAUAAUAUAAUGAUUGUAGUGAAAAACGCUGGUUUUGGCUCUUUGUUAUCCUAUAAAUGAACAUCGACAAUUAUCUGUUGAAUGGAAGAUAUUAUACAUUUUUAUUAAGUACUAUAAGGAUUUAUUAUGUGAUCACGUCAGCUGUAGUCGAUCCAAUAAAAUUGAGAAUGGAAACUCUUUUUUUAUUCAUUAAAGCAGUAUAGCUUUUUUUUCCCAUGCAACAACAAAAAAAUAUGAAGCCAUUAGGGUUAUGUUUAAAAAAUGUUUUAAUUUAUUCUAUGUAUGAUUAAUGAUUUUAAGUUGAUUAUAUCCGUCUGGCACGGCUGAAUAUUUGUGCAUUUUUGUUUAGACAUUAAUUCAUAAAUUUCUCAUACUAAAGUUCAUGCCAAAUUCAUUUGUUCUUCUCUUUGUUUUUGAUUGCUCUAUUCUAUUGCAUCUCCCUUUCUUUUUUUUUUCUUUUUUUUCUGUAUUUUUUUCCAUUUGCAGCAACAUCCCAAAUGGACGUUUCAUUGUAUUAAGAUUGUAUUCCUGCAUUGAAAGGCUUCUUUAUAUUUAUACCAAACUAUAAAAUGAUCCUUCAAAGAAAUAGACUUCGGCUUUGAGUAAGAUUGCACAUGUCGUGAACUAUUGUUAUAAAAUGAGGAGCUGUGGACUUUGACUGUUCAAUAUUUAAAUUAAAGAAAUAGAGUGUUGACAAAUUUUUAUCCCCGUUCGGCUUUUCCACCUUAGUUCAAUUGCAUUGUGUCAGGACCUUAGUUAGAAUAACAGUUUAAUAUAUUUCAAAC
This 10732-nucleotide long non-coding RNA is filed under the name Mytilus galloprovincialis (Mediterranean mussel). The record is from RNAcentral. Lineage: Eukaryota; Metazoa; Mollusca; Bivalvia; Mytilida; Mytilidae.